UAUUGAUCUGAAUGUAAAUCAUAAAUUGCAACGUAAUCACAAAAAACGCGUUGAUUAACGAUGAGUGUUAAUAAAAGAGGACCGUAUAAACAGUACAUAUACGAAGAACAUAACCCCGAAAUACAGCAUCAACGACACAUUCUCGAAAAAAAAGACAUGAUCAUAGUCAAGAAAAUCUUGGUUCGGUUGAGAACAUAAAAUGUUCAAAGUUGAGCCGAAUAGAGGAGAUAAAUGUAGCUGGAAGUAGCAAUAAAGUCGCAAUUAUACCUAUAGUUUCAUCUGAGAAAGAUUCUGGUUCCGAGGGUCUCCAAAGCAGCGAUGGAGAAGUAGAUGACAUUUCAUCGUGCUUAAAUCAUGAUGAAGGAGAUGAUAGUUUAUUAUGUACAGAUAACUCAUCAGAGUAUGAAAUUGAUUUGGCCUCUGACAUGGACGAAUAUGAGGAAAUCCCUAUUGCUGAUGAAGAUCACAAUAAUGUUAUUGAUAAUGCCAAAAAUCAUAAUCAAGAUCCACACAUGGAGCAGUUUCGCUAAGUACUGUACGAAGGAUGCAAUCUUUCAAAAGAAGAAAGCAAAAUGCUGCUUGUGAGUUUGGCUCUUCGUCAUCAACUGACCGAUGUUGCGUUGGAAUCUCUUGUUCAAGUAAUUGAUUGUCAUCUUCCUCGUACACAUCAUGGCUCCAAAUAUUUAUUAUUAAAGUCAUUACCAGAAAGUAAAGCGUGUAAAUACUAUUACUGUCCGGAAUGUUAUACGAUACUGAAUUCAUGUAUCGAUAAUCGAAUGAAAUGUGAAGUCUGUACAACAAUUUACAAAAAAAAGUAUCUCGAUAAAAAAAACAAGUAUUUUAUACAUAUUCCACUCAAAGAGCAAUUAAUAGAAUUAGUAAAAUCCGAAGAUUUUGCACAAUUCCGAAAAACUAAAGAAAUGGAAAGUGACAUCAUUAAUGGAAAUGUUUACCGUAAUUUAAGAAGUAAAAAUAUCAUUGGAGAUAAUUACAUUACCCUUCAGUGGAAUUCAGAUGGGGUACAAUUAUUUAAGUCUUCCAUGUCAUCCAUUUGGCCGAUUUUAGUUACAAUAAACGAAUUGCCUUAUCGUUUGCGAAGGCAACACAUUCUCUUAGCUGGCAUAUGGUUUGACGCUGUAAAACCAAAUAUGAAUAUUUUUUUU
Temnothorax curvispinosus is the source of this 1163-nucleotide long non-coding RNA. RefSeq lists it as uncharacterized. Lineage: Eukaryota; Metazoa; Arthropoda; Insecta; Hymenoptera; Formicidae. The record is from RefSeq and is a predicted model, not a curated record. The transcript is spliced from 3 exons.